Molecule: non-coding RNA, 113 nt
Organism: Acanthosepion pharaonis
Lineage: Eukaryota; Metazoa; Mollusca; Cephalopoda; Sepiida; Sepiidae
Source: the annotation of a GenBank genome assembly
UUACGGCAAUAUCACGUUGAAACACCGCUUCCAGCACGAUCAGCGAAGUAAAGCAACAUCGCGCCUGGUCAGUACCUAGAUGGGUGACCGCUUUGGAAUAUCACGUGCUGUAA